UCUGACAGCAGUAAGGCAAAAGACGCGCAUUAUACACUGAGCUACAGUCCAGCACCAUCAUGAUCUUCGAAUGGGUCUCAUAUAUUGCGUUUUACCUGCUUGUUGCUGUUUUUGGUGCAUUUCUUGCAUAUUGUCUGUAUGUUCAUCAUGUUCAUCAGAAAUAUGAUCAUCUACCUGGACCUCCAAGAGAGAAUUUUCUGCUGGGACAUAUACAAAUUUUUGCUAGAACACUGAAG
Long non-coding RNA from Puntigrus tetrazona (Sumatra barb), 236 nucleotides. RefSeq lists it as uncharacterized. The transcript is spliced from 2 exons. The record is from RefSeq and is a predicted model, not a curated record. Lineage: Eukaryota; Metazoa; Chordata; Actinopteri; Cypriniformes; Cyprinidae.